This is an RNA transcript of Bombus huntii, 5659 nucleotides long. It is a transcript of the gene named splicing regulatory glutamine/lysine-rich protein 1-like, with no coding region annotated. The record is from RefSeq and is a predicted model, not a curated record. The transcript is spliced from 3 exons. NCBI's taxonomy places the organism in Eukaryota, Metazoa, Arthropoda, Insecta, Hymenoptera, Apidae.
UUUGCACCGCGAAAUGGCCCAGAGAAUGUCAUCCAAUGAGGGUGAAGUAAAGGGAAAACAAGUAAAAUAAUGAUAAAAGGCGGAGCCCGCGGCGUGAUUUGAUUGGUCGAGAUAUCGCCGGCGUUCGAGUCAACCCGCGAAGAAGAGGGGGUUGUCCUCUCCUUUCUCUCUCCUCGUCUUUCUCUCUGGCCCUGUCUCUCUCGAUUUCUCGUUCCUCCUCUUCGCUUCUCUCCACCACACACCUUCGUCCCCGCUUUUCUCUCUCUCUCUCGAUCCUUUUCUCGUCUCCUUUAUGUCCGUCUCGUUUCGACCGCUACGUGCACUCUCUCUCUCUCUCUCUCUCACUAUCUCACUCUCACUCUCUCUCUUUCUCUUUCUCUCGUGCGCACACGACACACACACACACACACACACACACACACACACACACAGACACCACAUUGGCUUACUUUAUUCUCCAUUCUCUGUCGGUCCAUGCUCCGUGAUCGUGUCCUGACUCUGGCAGAACCAUCGGUUCUCCCUCCUCCCCUUUCUAUCUUCCUUCAACUUCUUUUCUUCUUCUUCGCUUCAGCGUCUUCUUUCUCUGCGCUCUACUACGUCAUCGUCGUCACCGUCGUCGUUGUCGUCGUCGUCGUCGUCUUUCUUCUAGGCCCUGUGUCUUUGCUCGCAAAGAUACACUUUAGUCGAUAGAAACGGUGGCAACGAGGGUACUCGAUCCGCGCGUGAAAUAUAUAUUUCAAACGAUCGCGAUAAAUCUCGAAAAACCGGAUAUCGACGCGUGUAACCUUUUUCCUGGCCAAGCCCUGUUCGGCCAAGAUGCCACGGCGAAUCUCGUUUAGCAGAAAUAUCGUACAUCGAUGAUAGGAGAGAGGAAAGAGUAACUCGUUGCGGAACCAUAUGCGGGAAGCAUAGGUCAAAGAGAUGAUUAGCGUAGCGAAAAUUCGGAGGCCGUCACGUGUUCCGAGGGGCGGUUUCGUGGCGGAAAAGUAUAUUGACUCGUGAUACGCCAUCUGUGCGAAGGAGGCACCCUCUCGUCGGCAUUAUUGGCAAAAUUAAUAAGCCCCGUGAUCGCGGUAGGUCGAAAUGGGAAGUGGUUAAUUCUGGCUUUACCCAUGGACCCGAUGUUGGCGGAUUAGAAACCUUUCCAAACGAAUGGAAAUUGUUUGCUCGACGAGAAGCAACACGCCGAGGGGUUGCCGCGUCUCCAACUUGCUACGACGCGUAUCCUAAAAAAGCAUCGGUGAUAAAUUAUUGCUGUCUGUCGCUGAAUUCAGUUGCCGUAAUCUCCAAUACUCAUUAUGGCGCAUUAAACCGAACAAGUUCUCCAAAUAAGCGUCCAAGGUUUACCGAUUAAUCGCUGCCGAUAAUUUGUCGUACGCUGAUUUAUCGCCGCUCUAUCCGUGCUCGAUUCUCUCGUUCUCGUUAGAUUCCACUUCUUUUUUCCUCCAAGUACCGAGAUAAAAAGAUCCACGUUACACGUGCUCGUUUACGAAUACGUCCUUCCGACAUACCGCCUUGCAUUACACCAUACAACAAUUAUUAAGAACACGAUCGAUCACGACGAAACCGACGAUGUUCCCGAUCCGAUCUAUUUCGGCGACUGGAUGACGUCCGAAGAACGAGUUUCCCGUGCUCGCAACACUCUCGGCGAUGCGAGACGCGCGUGUCGUUGCAGGUCGAAACGGCUGGCGACGCGGUACCGAAAAUUAACGCCACCGCGAAUCAAGACGACAAUGUGAUUCAUCAGUUAAAUCCGCGUGCAUAAUCCUUUACACAGCGUCCGAUCCCCGUCCACUAACGUAGAUACCAACGUAGAUGGGGACGAGGAACGUAGCUACGGAGGAGAAGCGGGGUUGACGAUGGUGGUUGGUUCUGUCAGCAGGGACUACGAAUUAUAAUCACAGUUGUGGUUCGUGCGGCUACGGGGGUGGAUCGAGGUGGACGAUGGAAGAGGAGCGAGAGGAGGAGGAGGGCGACGACGACGACGACGUUCGUCCGCUCGAGGGGAUGGAAAAGGGUGUAUUUACCCAGCAACGGUAUACACCGGCGCCACCGAGGACGGACCUAGAUGGAAAUCUGCGGCAUUCAGAGGCACUGGGCAAGAAAAUUGGCUGACAACAUUUCGCACGGCCGUCGAAUUGCCGAUCCCGUCCCCUUCCUGGACAGGAGGCCGUGUUCACCGAUAUUUACGCCGGACGAACUUGACGCAUCGUUCUAAUCGUCCUGACAAUUUAUCCUUCCUUUGCUAUGCGGGAUGCGCGAUCCGCGGCAUAAAAUCGCGAUCGGUCUGGUCGUAGCACGGAAUCCGCUCGACGCAACGACCACAUGCCAGUUAUUUCUUUGCUCUUUCGGCGUAACAAAGGCCGGAAUAACGUUCGAUCCGAAGGGGAUUUAACUUGGAUCGAAACGGAGAAAAGCGUUUGUCGUGCUGAAUGUGACAGAGACCCGUUAACGAGCAACGUCGCACGACUAUAUCGAACGGCCGCGUUUAUUUCGGCAAAAGGCUUGGAGGCGUUUCCGACGAGAAGCCCUAAUGAUCGCCUCGUGCCGACAACCGGCGAAUCCCGGCCAAAUAAAUCCGGCUUGAUUGAAUCAUUGUUAAGCGAAACCGCGUUAAAUACCCGUGAAAUUAACCCAGACGAUCCGUGCGCGGCACGCGAUCACUGAUUGGCUCCAGGGUAUCGCCUUUAAAGUGCCAUUAGAGGGCACCUCGUUCUCCGCUCCGAAACCAUUGAUUAAUGACUUGUCCGCAACACCGAGCCACGUCUCUUACGACAAAAUCUUCCGCUAACGUAUCCUACGAACCAUCUUGCACAGGCGCCUCUCCACCCUUUCGUCCUUUCCGCCAAUUCCAGGAAUUUCACCGGGAUUUAUACGAACGUCCGUGCAAACUUAAUCGGUAAACAGUUUAUCGUUCGAAUAAACGUCGGUCGGACGGGUUCGAGGGACACGCGAACCUACGGCAAACCUGUCGCAUCCUUUUCAUUUCGUUGGUGAUAAUUCCGUCUUUGAGCCAGCUCCGAUACGGUCCGCGGUCGGACAUUAGGGUGAUGGCGCGGACAUAUGGGAGCACCAUGUGGUCACCACGGUGUCGGCGAAAGCGGAGAGAGAGAAAGAGCAUAGAACCCCCGAGAGCAAGGCAACCGCAAGAGGCGAUAGGGAUAUAGGCGACCGCAGAUUCAAACGGAUCCGACGGCUAAACGCUCGCCGCAAUUUGUAGCAAUUUGUUAAGUAGCCGGCCAGAACAUUACCUAUAUUGCGUUUACUCCCCUUGACCGGAAGAUAUACGGGGGCAAGUUCAGAUUUAUCGUUCUCGCUAACGGAACAGAUCGGAGAAAAGAAGUCACGAGCCUGUGUGAGUCAGGAUAAAUUUGCUCGCGAGGCGAUAAACGUUCGGCGUGUUGUGUAGGUCUUUGCAAAUUCGCGGAAAGAACAGAGCCAUUCGUUACGAAAAGAGGCGGGACCAUCGCGUUUGUCGAGCGAAAAUAACUUGACCUCGUUCCAACGAGUCGACGCUUCGAUGCGCGACUUUUCGUCGAGUCAUCGCCGAUGAAAAGCAAAAACGAGCUGCACGGAAAAAGCUACACGCGAGCGAGGAAAAAGGAAUCCAGUGUAACGCAAAGAUUCCGUGAAAUCGAGGUUGGAGCUGGCAGACAAUUUAAAUCGUAGGUAAACGUCGAGGGGACUCGUUUUAUCCCCGGGCGACCUUAUCGAAGUCUCUUCUCUUUCGGCGUAGAGAGGACUCCUCUUCUCUUGUCGGUGUUCGUGGACUCGUGCAAGAGGGCGAAGAUUCGAGACGAGAGCGAAACGACUUUGGUCUUUCGUGGAUGCUUUUAGUCGAUGAGUUUCGCUUCCCUACAUCCCGUUUCGCUUUCGUCUCGUUCUGUAGCAUCGCUGUCCUGGCCUAACCCAGCUUUCUCAUCCAUAUGUAACAGUCGCCUGGUAUUAAUGACAGGGGGAAAGAGACGGAGCACGACAUGUUACCUUCUUUAUCCUAGAAACUCUCGCUCUCUCUCUCUCUCUCUCUCUCUCUCUCUCUCUUUUCCUCCGUUUCAUUCGCCAGUUACACGCUAUUGCGGUUUUAUCGGUGCCUUUUCAUUAUCUGAUAAAUAUAAUGGAAUUAUUUGUUUGCCGUUUGAACGCGGCCAUUGCGUCACGGGGCUCCGCGAUUGCCAAUAAGUUAUUUAGAACGACCGCGCCUUUCGACGACACGAAAUUCUUCGGCACAUUGUCAUCGCGAUCGAGAACGACAACUUCUCGUUUAAUAAAUGGAACGCGGACAAUCUAGGCCACCAGUGUUUACCGUCCACCGUCUACCGGCGUCUAUCAGGACGGACGAGGAGAGGCGGCAACUCGCGAGUCGCCGAGGACAAGGAUCGUCGACGAUGAUCGCAAAGGCUGAACGCGUGUCGGCGACGAGACGAGCCAAGAUACAGGAACGGGAGCGGCAGCGAAGGAAGAAACGAAUGCCAAAGAAAAGGGAUGAAACGCACGAUGUACGAAGAGUAUUCACUAAAGAGUCAAGAUCAAGUUGGCUCCUGUGAAUGGAACACGUGUACCGUGUCACAUCUAUCUGAAAAGUUCAUCGUUUCGGAGAUCUCGUAAAAAAGUUUCCUAGAAUGCGAGCUAUCUUCGGAGCCAUGGUGGCGAGUGUGUAAUCGAAGGAAUUGUAGAACACUUUUCUCAUGCAAAUACACUCGAUGCGGAGACCCGGAGAAGGGACAACGAACUUCUUUGGGCUGCUUAAAACUUCGAACUUAGGUCCUUUUAAAUUUAAAUGCUCUCCCCGGUCGAACAGCCGUCGUGCGUUCUUCUCUCGAACGGUUUCUCGCGCCGGUGUCGUAUAGAUGGUAAUAAAAAACAAAAAAAAAAAAAAGAAAAUACGCCAAAGCGUACGAACGGUGCGAUGGAUCGCGAUGCCGGGAUAAAAAAAAAAAAUGUCAUCGAUAUCUCCGCUUUACGCAUCGAAUAGCAUUCGCUGUACGUCCACGAAAUUGUAUCGCGGCUACUUUAACACAUAUUUCAAUGCGAAAGCGAAAAUAGUUUUCAGGGAGAUGGCAAAAAUUCGACCUGUCCGGGAACAACAUUUUCCAGCAAUUCUAGCGCGUUCGGUCAUUGUUUACCUGGGAAUUUUACAACCUUCAUAAAAGAUCGUACGCGUAUUCGCGUUGCAGUAAUUAUCGAAACGAAUAAAAUUGUCGCCCUGUAUGUAAUAAUAAGCAGACAGGCGAAUAUAAACGUAAUAAUUGCGAAAACGUGCGUUCGAAUCGUAGUAACACGAACGUAUCAAAAAUUAUUAUUUGCCGCUCGAUGUCCAAUGACCAGAAAAAUAUUUGCCUAAAGCGCGCGCACGCCGUUGAUGUGCCUCGAUACGGAUCGCAUUUGAAAUUCGAAUUAUUAUAAUUACGGUGUGCGAUUAAAAAUGAGAAGACAGGAGGGAGGGAUAAAGGGAUGCGUAACCUCCGCUGUUCAAUGAUAUAAUUACAAAGAGUUACAUGGUAGAAUGCGUCUACGAGCUGCGCUUAUUAAACCGAAAAUUUCAUGCGCAUUAAAUUAAGAAUAGAUUGUAUGCAUUAUCAUCGUGUGUAUCCCACAGAUAUUUUUCCCUGGUGAAUAAAAAAUAAUAAAGAAACGAAUGUAAUGAAUAAACGAACGAAAA